UGCGGGGUCGUCUAACGGUAGGACGCCUGACUCUGGAUCAGGUAGUCUAGGUUCGAAUCCUAGCCCCGCAGCCA
RNAcentral lists this transfer RNA (74 nucleotides) under Deltaproteobacteria bacterium. RNAcentral describes it as "tRNA-Gln". It matches the Rfam family "tRNA". Rfam says of the family: Transfer RNA (tRNA) molecules are approximately 80 nucleotides in length. Lineage: Bacteria; Pseudomonadati; Myxococcota; Myxococcia. The record is from RNAcentral. RNAcentral also lists the same sequence under 1 other name.